UUCCGGUGAUCCCCGCCGGACCCGACUGCUAUCAGAGUGGGACUAAGCCAUGCGAGUCAACGUAGCAAUACGUGGCAUACGGCUCAGUAACACGUAGUCAACAUGCCCAGGGGACGAGGAUAACCUCGGGAAACUGAGGAUAAACCUCGAUAGGCCAUGAUUUCUGAAAUGAUUCUUGGCUCAAACCUAUAUGGCCCCUGGAUUGGACUGCGGCCGAUCAGGCUGUUGGUGAGGUAAUGGCCCACCAAACCUAUUACCGGUACGGGCUCUGAGAGGAGGAGCCCGGAGAUGGGCACUGAGACAAGGGCCCAGGCCCUAUGGGGCGCAGCAGGCGCGAAACCUCUGCAAUAGGCGAAAGCUUGACAGGGUUACUCUGAGUGAUUUCCGCUAAGGGAAUCUUUUGGCACCUCUAAAAAUGGUGCAGAAUAAGGGGUGGGCAAGUCUGGUGUCAGCCGCCGCGGUAAUACCAGCACCCCGAGUGGUCGGGACGAUUAUUGGGCCUAAAGCAUCCGUAGCCGGUCCUGCAAGUCUUCCGUUAAAUCCAGCUGCUCAACAGAUGGGCUGCGGGAGAUACUACAGGGCUAGGAGGCGGGAGAGGCAAGCGGUACUUUAUGGGUAGGGGUAAAAUCCGCUGAUCCAUAGAAGACCACCAGUGGCGAAGGCGGCUUGCCAGAACGCGCUCGACGGUGAGGGAUGAAAGCUGGGGGAGCAAACCGGAUUAGAUACCCGGGUAGUCCCAGCUGUAAACGAUGCAGACUCGGUGAUGGGUUGGCCUCGCGCCUGCCCAGUGCCGCAGGGAAGCCGUUAAGUCUGCCGCCUGGGGAGUACGGUCGCAAGACUGAAACUUAAAGGAAUUGGCGGGGGAGCA
RNAcentral lists this ribosomal RNA (868 nucleotides) under uncultured archaeon. RNAcentral's name for it is "bacterial SSU rRNA". It matches the Rfam family "Archaeal small subunit ribosomal RNA", at positions 1 to 878 of the family's 1478-position model. The record is from RNAcentral.